This 482-nucleotide ribosomal RNA is filed under the name uncultured bacterium. RNAcentral's name for it is "partial 16S ribosomal RNA". It matches the Rfam family "Bacterial small subunit ribosomal RNA", at positions 28 to 507 of the family's 1533-position model. The record is from RNAcentral.
GAUGAACGCUAGCGGCAGGCCUAAUACAUGCAAGUCGGACGGGAUUCAGGAGCUUGCUUCUGAUGAGAGUGGCGCACGGGUGCGUAACACGUAUGUAACCUACCUUUAUCAGGGGGAUAGCCUCUCGAAAGAGAGAUUAAGCCCGCAUAAAAUCACAGCACAGCAUUGUGUAAUGAUCAAAUAUUUAUAGGAUAAAGAUGGGCAUGCGGAGCAUUAGCUAGAUGGCGGGGUAACGGCCCACCAUGGCGACGAUGUUUAGGGGAUCUGAGAGGAUGGCCCCCCACACUGGUACUGAGACACGGACCAGACUCCUACGGGAGGCAGCAGUAAGGAAUAGUGGGCAAGGGGCGGAAGCCUGAACCAGCCAUGCCGCGUGCAGGAAGACGGCCCUACGGGUUGUAAACUGCUUUUAUACGGGAAUAAACCCAGAUACGUGUAUCUGGCUGAAUGUACUGUAAGAAUAAGGAUCGGCUAACUCCGUG